This is a long non-coding RNA of Raphanus sativus (radish), 543 nucleotides long. RefSeq lists it as uncharacterized. The record is from RefSeq and is a predicted model, not a curated record. NCBI's taxonomy places the organism in Eukaryota, Viridiplantae, Streptophyta, Magnoliopsida, Brassicales, Brassicaceae. The transcript has 2 exons.
UCCGAGGUUUCAAAUCAAUGCUUCGUUUCAACUUCUGGUAAAAAAAAAAAGGAACGACGAGUAAUGGACCUUUUAGCCCAAUAACAACUUAACAGCCCAAUAACAACUUAACAGAGAUUUGAGUCGAUAUCAUCGGGAGAAGUCUGGAGAGAGAGAGAGAGAGAGAGAGAGAGAGAGAGCCGGAGAAGACCACAACAAACAAAAAAAAAGUUGCGAAGAAGAAGAAGAAGAAAAUGAUCUACCGAAAGUGGAGUCUGCUGUCCGGUCCACCGGUUAUACUCGGAGGAGCCGUAGUUGCCGCCAUCGCUGUCGGCAUCCUCGUACAGAACGUCACGAAAGGGGAACAAAAGAAGAAUGUCUCAUCAAACAAGUGAAAAUGGAAAAGAUUGGGGAGAAGAUGCUACAAAUGAAAUUUGUAGUGUGAUUUUAGUUCAUGCAGUGUAAGCUCUCAAUAAUGCUUUUGUAAGCUUUUUUCGAAUUCACAGAUCCUCUUUGGUGUUUUUGGACUCUUAUUGCCAAUAAUAAUAUCUCACUUUUUGCACA